AUCUCUUCUCGGCCUUUUGGCUAAGAUCACGUAUAGUAUCUGUUCUUAUCAGUUUAAUAUCUGUUACGUUCUCUAUCUGAGGACAAUAUAUUAAAUGAAUUUUUGGAGCAGGAAGUUGGAGUAGGAGCUUGCUCUGUCCACUUCAUGCAUUGGCCUGGUAGUGCAGUACUUCCAGGAAAGGUGCACCCCUU
Manis pentadactyla (Chinese pangolin) is the source of this 191-nucleotide small nuclear RNA. RefSeq annotates it as U2 spliceosomal RNA. The record is from RefSeq and is a predicted model, not a curated record. The transcript has a single exon. Lineage: Eukaryota; Metazoa; Chordata; Mammalia; Pholidota; Manidae.